RNAcentral lists this transfer RNA (98 nucleotides) under Isoptericola dokdonensis DS-3. RNAcentral describes it as "tRNA-Gly". Lineage: Bacteria; Bacillati; Actinomycetota; Actinomycetes; Micrococcales; Promicromonosporaceae. The record is from RNAcentral.
GGGUCGUCGUGCGGGCGUGGGAGCACCUGCUCGACGUACCCCUCGUCGUGGAGCUCGACCCGGACGAGCUGCGGCGGUUCGUCGACGCCGUCGACCCG